AUUGAACGCUGGCGGCAUGCCUUACACAUGCCAGUCGAACGGUAACAGGUCUUCGGAUGCUGACGAGUGGCGAACGGGUGAGUAAUACAUCGGAACGUGCCCAGACGUGGGGGAUAACGAGGCGAAAGCUUUGCUAAUACCGCAUACGAUCUAAGGAUGAAAGCAGGGGACCGCAAGGCCUUGUGCGUUUGGAGCGGCCGAUGGCAGAUUAGGUAGUUGGUGGGAUAAAAGCUUACCAGGCCGACGAUCUGUAGCUGGUCUGAGAGGACGACCAGCCACACUGGGACUGAGACACGGCCCAGACUCCUACGGGAGGCAGCAGUGGGGAAUUUUGGACAAUGGGCGAAAGCCUGAUCCAGCAAUGCCGCGUGCAGGAUGAAGGCCUUCGGGUUGUAAACUGCUUUUGUACGGAACGAAAAGGCUCUGGCUAAUACCUGGGGCACAUGACGGUACCGUAAGAAUAAGCACCGGCUAACUACGUG
This 482-nucleotide ribosomal RNA is filed under the name uncultured bacterium. RNAcentral describes it as "partial 16S ribosomal RNA". It matches the Rfam family "Bacterial small subunit ribosomal RNA", at positions 30 to 507 of the family's 1533-position model. The record is from RNAcentral.